This 254-nucleotide ribosomal RNA is filed under the name uncultured Bacteroidales bacterium. Its description in RNAcentral is "partial 16S ribosomal RNA". It matches the Rfam family "Bacterial small subunit ribosomal RNA", at positions 524 to 776 of the family's 1533-position model. The record is from RNAcentral. Lineage: Bacteria; Pseudomonadati; Bacteroidota; Bacteroidia; Bacteroidales.
UACGGGGGAUGCAAGCGUUAUCCGGAUUUAUUGGGUUUAAAGGGUGCGUAGGCUGUGAGGUAAGUCAGCGGUGAAAUGCCCCCGCUCAACGGGGUGAAGUGCCAUUGAUACUGCCUUGCUGGAAUGCGGAUGCCGUGGGAGGAAUGUGUGGUGUAGCGGUGAAAUGCAUAGAUAUCACGCAGAACGCCGAUUGCGAAGGCAGCUUACCGGCGCUCAACUGACGCUGAGGCACGAAAGUGCGGGUAUCGAACAGG